GCGAAGGCAAGCGGAUCUCUUAAAGCUGUUCUCAGUUCGGACUGCAGUCUGCAACUCGACUGCACGAAGCUGGAAUCGCUAGUAAUCGCGGAUCAGCACGCCGCGGUGAAUACGUUCCCGGGCCUUGUACACACCGCCCGUCACACCAUGGAAGUCUGCAAUGCCCGAAGCCGGUGGCCUAACCACUUAUGUGGAAGGAGCCGUCUAAGGCAGGGCAGAUGACUGGGGUGAAGUCGUAACAAGGUAAC
RNAcentral lists this ribosomal RNA (248 nucleotides) under uncultured bacterium. RNAcentral describes it as "partial 16S ribosomal RNA". It matches the Rfam family "Bacterial small subunit ribosomal RNA", at positions 1257 to 1500 of the family's 1533-position model. The record is from RNAcentral.